Long non-coding RNA from Humulus lupulus (European hop), 1071 nucleotides. RefSeq lists it as uncharacterized. The record is from RefSeq and is a predicted model, not a curated record. Lineage: Eukaryota; Viridiplantae; Streptophyta; Magnoliopsida; Rosales; Cannabaceae. The transcript is spliced from 2 exons.
UCCACUUUUAGAAGCUACAAAGUACUUGAAGUUGCUUCAAAAGAACUACCCUGAUUCGUUAGAAACACACUUGCUUUCUUUUGAAGUGAAUGUGAGAAAACAGAAGGUUUUGCUUGCCUUUCAGCCUGUAAAGCAACUACUGAGGUUGAACGCUGAACACCCAGAUACACAUCGCUGUUUAGUAUGUAUCUCUGUUAUCUAUGGCCAUCGUGUUUGUAUAUGUUCUUAUCAGUUUGUGGUGAUCUGUCUAUUCCACUCGAACUUAUUGUUAACUGCUCGAAUAAGAGGAAUAUCAUGGGCUUCAUAAAGGACCUCUAACAGCCAUAUUCACAUUCUACUUGUUAAUUUGGAUGCCAUACUUGAUGCCCUGUUGGUUACCUAUCACAGAGAGAAUUUUUCCAAAGCUAUUUACACAUCAAUGCUAUGUUUGUAUUGAACUUUACAGAAAGGAAUUAACCUUGCUAGGUCUUUAGAGAAGAAAUAAAUGCGGAUAGAAGUUAGUACAAACUGUAUGAAUUGUUUCUUCAUAUUGGUUCUUCUUAUGGAAUAUAGGGUGAUAAAUUAGUUAGUAUGAAUUGUCCUUUCCCUUUCUUUUUCUCCUGAGUUGCAUAGGUCUGGUUUCCUGGUUUCCUUUACACUCAAAUGUGAUAAGUUUCAAUUCUUGUAUUUAAUGACCUUAUUUGUUUUAUUUUUCCUCUGAAAUUAGUCUCUCUCUAUGUUUUUUGUUCUUUUUGUUUUUCUUUAUAUAUAUUAUUUCUUUAUGGGAGUGAUUUUAGUGAUUAUUUGUUUAUAUGUUCUUAAUAAUAAAAGGAUUUUUUUUUUUACAAUGUGCAGGUAUAUUGAGAUGAUUUCUUUGGAGAAAUUCUUGACAACAUUUGUAGUUGAGGCCUUUAGAAUGGAAGAAUGUAUUUCACUAAUUUUUGUAUACAUUUCUUGUUUUGUAUUUAGUGAUAAAGGAAUCUGAAUUGGGCAUAAAUUAUGUUGUAAUAUGAUUUCUUAAGCCUAGACUAGUAGACUAAAUAUUGUAAUUACAUUUUGAGUAAUUAAUAAAAAUCUAUUUAUGUUACCUUA